GAUCAUUACUGAGUGCGGGCUGCCUCCGGGCGCCCAACCUCCCACCCGUGACUACCUAACACUGUUGCUUCGGCGGGGAGCCCUCUCGGGGGCGAGCCGCCGGGGACUACUGAACUUCAUGCCUGAGAGUGAUGCAGUCUGAGUCUGAAUAUAAAAUCAGUCAAAACUUUCAACAAUGGAUCUCUUGGUUCCGGCAUCGAUGAAGAACGCAGCGAACUGCGAUAAGUAAUGUGAAUUGCAGAAUUCAGUGAAUCAUCGAGUCUUUGAACGCACAUUGCGCCCCCUGGCAUUCCGGGGGGCAUGCCUGUCCGAGCGUCAUUGCUGCCCAUCAAGCCCGGCUUGUGUGUAUGGGUCGUCGUCCCCCCCGGGGGACGGGCCCGAAAGGCAGCGGCGGUCACCGUGUCCGGUCCUCGAGCGUAUGGGGCUUUGUCACCCGCUCGAUUUAGGGCCGGCCGGGCGCCAGCCGACGUCCAACCAUUUUUUCUUCAGGUUGACCUCGGAUCAGG
RNAcentral lists this unclassified non-coding RNA (506 nucleotides) under Aspergillus amoenus. Its description in RNAcentral is "sequence contains 18S rRNA gene, ITS1, 5.8S rRNA gene, ITS2, 28S rRNA gene". The stretch from base 165 to 318 matches the Rfam family "5.8S ribosomal RNA". Lineage: Eukaryota; Fungi; Ascomycota; Eurotiomycetes; Eurotiales; Aspergillaceae. The record is from RNAcentral.